AUCGCUUCUUGGCCUUUUGGCUAAGAUCAAGUGUACCAUAUACAUGGGCAACUGCUUCUGAAUAUUGAGGAACACCUCACCAUUGGUGAAACCCACAGGGGAAUCACAUGACUGAAUGCUUUCUCAUGUCAGAAAUUCCCUCCCAGU
This is a non-coding RNA of Podarcis lilfordi (Lilford's wall lizard), 147 nucleotides long. Lineage: Eukaryota; Metazoa; Chordata; Lepidosauria; Squamata; Lacertidae. The record is from the annotation of a GenBank genome assembly.